Molecule: long non-coding RNA, 960 nt
Organism: Daphnia pulex (common water flea)
Lineage: Eukaryota; Metazoa; Arthropoda; Branchiopoda; Diplostraca; Daphniidae
Exons: 6
Source: RefSeq, a predicted model, not a curated record
AAAAUAUUGGGGUUCUAUUGUCAGUGGGGUUCUAUUGUCGGAUGUCGCUAGUGUUGCCCUUGUUGUUUUUACAACGUAAAACGAGGCGAAAAGUGCGAAACAAAUUGUAGCUGAUUAAUACUUCCUGUGAUUAUAUUCCUGUGAUUUCUUAUAUCAAAUUGAACUUCGUAACUUGUAUGCAUACUGUCAGUCAUUCCAAAAAGUUGACUUAGCGCUCAGUCACUUUCCCUCCAAUAGACCCAUCAUGUUGUCAAAAACCUAAAACUCAUAUGUGAAGCUCAAAUAUCGUGGAAUACAAAUGUGCGGAGACGAGGUAUUUCCCCAUUACUGCUACCAACCACACCACGUCAAAUGCCUUACUAAAUUCAUCACCAUUCACCCAUAUGAUAAAGCAUCAGGAAAUUUAUCUAAACCUGAGGAGUAAGGCUGUUGGUUGCUGUGAUUUCCAUUUUUACGGUUUUUUAUCAUGAAACUUUCAGUGAGCUUGUUACUUAAGAGCACGUAAUAGAUCCUAGCCAAUGCGUACCUUUGUCCAUGACGGAAGAGAGACUUCCAGCAAGUUUUGCUCCAUCCUCAUCUUCCCGACGUACACUCAUCUAGCUUCACUGCUUUUGCUGCUACAACUUGUCUUACUUCACCGACGAGUUGGAAAACUUCCGUGGUCGCUACCCUUUGCUGUUACACACCUGCAGUUACUUACCUCGGGAUUAUGGCCAGGUAAUGCAGAGGAAAUUUCGAGAAGAUGGACACCAUAACGUCGCCGGUAUCUCCAAAGUGUCAGCGCGGAUCAUCAUUUGAUGUUGGUAAUAUGUUUGUGUUUGUGUUAGUUAACCCGUUGUCUGCCACGCCUUUGUUCUCCCCGCUCCUUAGCAUGGGCCGCGCCGAAAGGCGCCUGUUUGGCAAUGCACCAAGUUCCCCCUUGUCGAUGCGGUGAUGGAUUCUCCUGUCACCGUGUCAGCC